AGUGAUAUGCUUGUCUCAAAGACUAAGCCAUGCAGGUGUAAGUACGAGCGAACAUGAGGGUGAAACUGCGAACGGCUCAUUAAAUCAGUUAUGGUUCCUUAGGUCGAUAGCCCCCGAGGAGUACUUGGAUAACUCUGGCAAUUCUAGAGCUAAUACAUGCACCUAGUCUCCGACCCCUCGCGAGAGGGGGAAGAGCGCUUUUGUUAGUAUAUAUGGAGAACAGCCCGGACGCCUCGGUGGCGGCCUCGCGUCGCGCCAGGCUCCGGCCGGUUUGUUGACUCUGAGCAACGGGCAGAUCGCUAAUGGCCUCCGUGCCGGCGACAGGCCUUUCGAGUGUCUGCCCUAUCAACUGGUUGGUAUGCACUAUGCGCACCAAGGUGGUAACGGGUGACGGGGAAUCAGGGUUCGAUUCCGGAGAGGGAGCAUGAGAAUCGGCUACCACAUCUAAGGAAGGCAGCAGGCACGCAAAUUACCCAAUCCCGACACGGGGAGGUAGUGACGAAAAAUAACAAUGCGGGUCUCCUCGCGAGGCCUCGUAAUUGGAAUGAGUACAGUGUAAAAUCUUGCGACGAGGA
This 575-nucleotide ribosomal RNA is filed under the name Pegophysema bialata. RNAcentral's name for it is "SSU rRNA". It matches the Rfam family "Eukaryotic small subunit ribosomal RNA", at positions 22 to 543 of the family's 1831-position model. The record is from RNAcentral. Lineage: Eukaryota; Metazoa; Mollusca; Bivalvia; Lucinida; Lucinidae.